AUGAUGACUCUCGGCAAUGGAUAUCUCGGCUCUCGCCUCGAUGAAGAACGUAGCGAAAUGCGAUACCUGGUGUGAAUUGCAGAAUCCCGUGAACCAUCGAGUCUUUGAACACAAGUUGUGCCCGAGGCUACCCGGUCGAGGGCACGCCUGCCUGGGCGUCACGC
RNAcentral lists this ribosomal RNA (164 nucleotides) under Pinanga javana. Its description in RNAcentral is "5.8S rRNA". It matches the Rfam family "5.8S ribosomal RNA". Rfam says of the family: 5.8S ribosomal RNA (5.8S rRNA) is a component of the large subunit of the eukaryotic ribosome. It is transcribed by RNA polymerase I as part of the 45S precursor that also contains 18S and 28S rRNA. Lineage: Eukaryota; Viridiplantae; Streptophyta; Magnoliopsida; Arecales; Arecaceae. The record is from RNAcentral.